Nothoprocta perdicaria is the source of this 148-nucleotide long non-coding RNA. RefSeq lists it as uncharacterized. The transcript has 2 exons. The record is from RefSeq and is a predicted model, not a curated record. Lineage: Eukaryota; Metazoa; Chordata; Aves; Tinamiformes; Tinamidae.
UCUCUUGCUGUCUAUUUAAUAUACAAGUCCCAAACUUCCAACAGAAGUUAACCAAAGAAUUACUGAAUAUCUGGAUCUCAUCAGAACACACAUGCAAAAGCAAUGGGCUUUCACACUGAUGCAUUGUAAGGUAGGCCAGGCACAAAGG